GUUGGAACAACUAUUAAUAACAAAUACGUAUAAUUUUCGCAUGAAGAUUAUAUAAAAGUAGCGUUUGCUACACUAAGAGAGCGGGGUGCGUAACAUUAGUUAGUUGGUGAGGUAAUGGCUCACCAAGACGAUGAUGUUUAGCGGGGUUGAGAGACUGAACCGCCACACUGGGACUGAGAUACGGCCCAGACUCCUACGGGAGGCAGCAGUAGGGAAUAUUCCACAAUGAACGAAAGUUUGAUGGAGCGACACAGCGUGCAGGAUGAAGGCCCUAUGGGUUGUAAACUGCUGUGGUAAGAGAAGAAAAAACCGAGGAGGAAAUGCCUUGGUCUUGACGGUAUCUUAUUAGAAAGCAACGGCUAACUAUGUGCCAGCAGCCGCGGUAAUACAUAGGUCGCAAGCGUUAUCCGACGGCUAA
This 418-nucleotide ribosomal RNA is filed under the name Mycoplasmopsis gallinarum. Its description in RNAcentral is "bacterial SSU rRNA". It matches the Rfam family "Bacterial small subunit ribosomal RNA", at positions 149 to 546 of the family's 1533-position model. The record is from RNAcentral. Lineage: Bacteria; Bacillati; Mycoplasmatota; Mycoplasmoidales; Metamycoplasmataceae.